GAUGCAUAGCCGACCUGAGAGGGUGAUCGGCCACAUUGGGACUGAGACACGGCCCAAACUCCUACGGGAGGCAGCAGUAGGGAAUCUUCGGCAAUGGACGAAAGUCUGACCGAGCAACGCCGCGUGAGUGAAGAAGGUUUUCGGAUCGUAAAACUCUGUUGUUAGAGAAGAACAAGGAUGAGAGUAACUGUUCAUCCCUUGACGGUAUCUAACCAGAAAGCCACGGCUAACUACGUGCCAGCAGCCGCGGUAAUACGUAGGUGGCAAGCGUUGUCCGGAUUUAUUGGGCGUAAAGCGAGCGCAGGCGGUUUCUUAAGUCUGAUGUGAAAGCCCCCGGCUCAACCGGGGAGGGUCAUUGGAAACUGGGAGACUUGAGUGCAGAAGAGGAGAGUGGAAUUCCAUGUGUAGCGGUGAAAUGCGUAGAUAUAUGGAGGAACACCAGUGGCGAA
Molecule: ribosomal RNA, 449 nt
Filed under: uncultured Bacilli bacterium
Lineage: Bacteria; Bacillati; Bacillota; Bacilli
Description: bacterial SSU rRNA
Rfam family: Bacterial small subunit ribosomal RNA
Source: RNAcentral